This is a long non-coding RNA of Pogoniulus pusillus (Red-fronted tinkerbird), 1834 nucleotides long. RefSeq lists it as uncharacterized. The transcript has 4 exons. Lineage: Eukaryota; Metazoa; Chordata; Aves; Piciformes; Lybiidae. The record is from RefSeq and is a predicted model, not a curated record.
UGGAGGGUCUUUCUCACCAUCUGCUCCUGAGGACUACUUUCCUCUUCCUUAUGGCCACCAUACAGUUGCUGAGAUGAGUACAACUUUGUACACUUUAUACUGGCAUUAGUAUUAACAUUAGUUUUGCUGUUUCAUUUAAUCUAUUCUCAUUUCAACCUAUGGGUCUCCUCUCCUUUUACUGAUCCCUCUUCUCAACUGGGGAGAAGUAAUCAGGUGGUAGAGUAGCUGGUAUAGUUUAGCCCUGGAUAUUGGCUGAAUGGUGUCAUAGAAGCUCCCAUUGUUCCUUAUAAGCCCUUUUUAUCCUGAAUCUGUUUGAUUGUGACUGUGUUUAAUCCUGAUCAGGAACUAGCAGUAACCUGCCUGCUUAUUUAGGGGUUGGUAAGAAGCAGAGCUGCAAACUUUCAUGCUUACAUAAAAUUAUCUUUGUCUGUGGAGAAUGAAUCCAAGGGGAGGGAACAUUACUAAUAAUUACACUGCUAAGAGAUUUGUGAAUACUUUCUGUUGAACUACUGGAGGAGCUACUAAGAAAUUCCAUUUAGUGCGUAGACAGAGGAUGGUUCCAACUCACUCCAUCCAAGGAAUAAAAGUAUUUCUAAAUAUAGAGUUGAGGUAUGCUAAACCCUUCAAGAGGGAUGUUAAAACAGGUUAUAAAUCUAAAGUUACAAAUCCCAGGGAAUUAAUGGAAAAGGAAGCUCUGAGUACAAAUUUUGGGACAAGCAAUACAACAAAGAAUAGGUUAUGAACAGCAGAAAGAAUUUGCAAUUAGAGAAUCCAGUGCAGUUAUUCCCCAUAGAGAAAAACGGCAAAAUCGAAGUCAGGAGAUGCACCACACACAGGUGUAAGACAGAGAGCACAAUUCUUUCUGGGAGCUUCCUUAAGCCUCUUGGUUUUGCAGCACACAUUUAUCAAUCAAGAGCUCCCCGUUGUGGUGAAAACGAAACGCGAAACGCAGCUAAAGUCUCUGCUUUUCGUUUAGCUUCUUGCUAAGUCAAGGGACAGUUGAUCUUUUGGCAGUCUGCUCUAAAGUUUGUGCCACUGGUGAAGUUGUCACUGGGUGCACCAUUUCUAGCUACUUAAGGUUGAAACACACAUAGGUGUAGGACUGCAAGCACUUCAGGGACAUGAACAGCAGAAGUGGAAAUGCUGAUGGUGUCACACAGCUGGAACAAAGGCACUUGGGUACCUCUGUGUGAAAAGACACAGGAAGUACUUGUACUUUCACAUAACUUAGCGGUGACAAUAUUAACUUCUGAUGCAGAAAGGCUCCCUCAACCCUCCUAUCUUUUUGCAUCACCUUUUCAGUUUUCUGUCUAAGACGAACUGGGGAAGCAGUGCUGCUUUUGUCCGUAUCUUCUCUCUGCCCUGAUGGGUGAUAUUUCAGGAACACUCAGGACAAACUCAAAGCUGCUGGCGACCUCCCUGCUCAAGACAAGUUUCCAAUAGGCCUGACAGAUCUACAGAAGGCAGAAUGCCAAACAUCUCAUUACUGGGGGCUUCUGAACAGGAGGAAAGAAAAGCUUACAUCUGUGUCUUGGCCAAGAGGAGCACUGUGGACAGAAGGCUCUGUGUUCUUUCCUUGGCAGCCUUAGCCACUUUAAGGGAGCUACUGGAGUAGCAGGAAGGAAAAUGGUUUCUGCUGUGGUCAUGGUGUCAUGUAAAUGAACAUGAGAAAGAGAAGACCAGAAGAUGGAACUAGUAGAGGAGAGAAAUAAACUCAGGAGCACCAGAGAGUUACUGAAGGCCGAACAGCAGGAUAUUCCUUGUCUUGCAUGUCAAAAGAACUUGACAUGGUGGGAAAACUGGACACAUAUCAUAUGGCUGAGAGCCUAUGCUG